Potamilus streckersoni is the source of this 68-nucleotide non-coding RNA. The record is from the annotation of a GenBank genome assembly. NCBI's taxonomy places the organism in Eukaryota, Metazoa, Mollusca, Bivalvia, Unionida, Unionidae.
GUUGGCAUAGUGGUUAGAGCGUCCGACUCGGAUGCAGGAGGUCGUGGGUUCGAUUCCCGGUCGAGUCA